RNAcentral lists this ribosomal RNA (958 nucleotides) under Chromohalobacter israelensis. RNAcentral's name for it is "bacterial SSU rRNA". It matches the Rfam family "Bacterial small subunit ribosomal RNA", at positions 416 to 1368 of the family's 1533-position model. The record is from RNAcentral. Lineage: Bacteria; Pseudomonadati; Pseudomonadota; Gammaproteobacteria; Oceanospirillales; Halomonadaceae.
UUCGGGGUUGUAAAGCCAUUUUCAGUGGGGAAGAAGGGUUGUCCGGCCAAUACCCGCAUAGAGCGACAUCACCCACAGAAGAGCCCCCGGCUAACUCCGUGCCAGCAGCCGCGGUAAUACGGAGGGUGCAAGCGUUAAUCGGAAUUACUGGGCGUAAAGCGCGCGUAGGCGGCUUGUCACGCCGGGUGUGAAAGCACCGGGCUCAACCUGGGAACGGCAUCCGGAACGGGCAGGCUAGAGUGCAGGAGAGGAAGGUAGAAUUCCCGGUGUAGCGGUGAAAUGCGUAGAGAUCGGGAGGAAUACCAGUGGCGAAGGCGGCUUUCUGGACUGACACUGACGCUGAGGUGCGAAAGCGUGGGUAGCAAACAGGAUUAGAUACCCUGGUAGUCCACGCUGUAAACGAUGUCGACUAGCCGUUGGGUCCCUUGAGGACUUAGUGGCGCAGUUAACGCGAUAAGUCGACCGCCUGGGGAGUACGGCCGCAAGGUUAAAACUCAAAUGAAUUGACGGGGGCCCGCACAAGCGGUGGAGCAUGUGGUUUAAUUCGAUGCAACGCGAAGAACCUUACCUAUCCUUGACAUCCUGCGAACCCGGAAGAGAUUCCGGGGUGCCUUCGGGAGCGCAGAGACAGGUGCUGCAUGGCUGUUGUCAGCUCGUGUUGUGAAAUGUUGGGUUAAGUUCCGUAACGAGCGCAACCCUUGUCCCUAUUUGCCAGUGAUUCGGUCGGGAACUCUAGGGAGACUGCCGGUGACAAACCGGAGGAAGGUGGGGACGACGUCAAGUCAUCAUGGCCCUUACGGGUAGGGCUACACACGUGCUACAAUGGCCGGUACAAAGGGUAGCGAAGCCGCGAGGUGAAGCCAAUUCCAGAAAGCCGGCCUCAGUCCGGAUUGGAGUCUGCAACUCGACUCCAUGAAGUCGGAAUCGCUGUAAUCGUAUCAGAUGAUUGUUCUUAACC